RNAcentral lists this ribosomal RNA (492 nucleotides) under uncultured bacterium. RNAcentral describes it as "partial 16S ribosomal RNA". It matches the Rfam family "Bacterial small subunit ribosomal RNA", at positions 29 to 507 of the family's 1533-position model. The record is from RNAcentral.
AGUGAACGCUGGCGGUAGGCCUAACACAUGCAAGUCGAACGGCAGCACAGUAAGAGCUUGCUCUUACGGGUGGCGAGUGGCGGACGGGUGAGGAAUACAUCGGAAUCUACUUUUUCGUGGGGGAUAACGUAGGGAAACUUACGCUAAUACCGCAUACGACCUACGGGUGAAAGCAGGGGAUCUUCGGACCUUGCGCGAUUGAAUGAGCCGAUGUCGGAUUAGCUAGUUGGCGGGGUAAAGGCCCACCAAGGCGACGAUCCGUAGCUGGUCUGAGAGGAUGGUCAGCCACACUGGAACUGAGACACGGACCAGACUCCUACGGGAGGGAGCAGUGGGGAAUAUGGGACAAUGGGCGCAAGCCUGAUCCAGCCAUACCGCGUGGGUGAAGAAGGCCUUCGGGUUGUAAAGCCCUUUUGUUGGGAAAGAAAAGCAGCAGGUUAAUACGCCGCUGUUCUGACGGUACCCAAAGAAGAAGCACCGGCUAACUUCGUG